RNAcentral lists this ribosomal RNA (134 nucleotides) under Desulfofarcimen acetoxidans DSM 771. The record is from RNAcentral. Lineage: Bacteria; Bacillati; Bacillota; Clostridia; Eubacteriales; Peptococcaceae.
UCGGGGCACGAGAACCCUUUCAGGGCCCGUUCCCAUCCUACCCCUUCGGGGCACAGGCGAACACGGAAGUCAAGCUCUUCAGCGCUGAUGGUACUUGGGGUUACCCCCUGGGAGAGUAAGACGUUGCCGGAAAC